AAACCAACAGGGAUUGCCUUAGUAACGGCGAGUGAAGCGGCAAGAGCUCAAAUUUGAAAUCUGGCGUCUUUGGGCGUCCGAAUUGUAAUUUGUAGAGGUAUCUUUGGAAACGGCCCUGGCAUAUGUUCCUUGGAACAGGACGUCAUAGAGGGUGAGAACCCCGUAUGUGGUUGGGUGUCCGUUUCUUUGUAAAGUGCCUUCGACGAGUCGAGUUGUUUGGGAAUGCAGCUCUAAGUGGGUGGUAAAUUCCAUCUAAAGCUAAAUAUUGGCGAGAGACCGAUAGCGAACAAGUACAGUGAUGGAAAGAUGAAAAGAACUUUGAAAAGAGAGUGAAAAAGUACGUGAAAUUGUUGAAAGGGAAGCGUUUAAAACCAGACACGGUUAAAAGAUGAUCAUCGUCCCUCGUGGGCUGUGCUAUCGCUUUUUUCUGGCCAGCAUCAGUUUGAGUGGUGGGAUAAGAGCAUUGGAAUGUAGCUCUUCGGAGUGUUAUAGCCUUUGUUGAUACCGCUACUUGGACUGAGGUUCUUCACUGAACGCUGGCGUAAUGGUUUUAAGCGGC
Molecule: ribosomal RNA, 559 nt
Filed under: Trigonopsis variabilis
Lineage: Eukaryota; Fungi; Ascomycota; Trigonopsidomycetes; Trigonopsidales; Trigonopsidaceae
Description: eukaryotic LSU rRNA
Rfam family: Eukaryotic large subunit ribosomal RNA
Source: RNAcentral